UACGGGGGGAGCAAGCGUUGUUCGGAUUUACUGGGCGUAAAGGGCGCGUAGGCGGUCAGCACAAGUCAGUUGUGAAAUCUCCGGGCUUAACUCGGAAAGGUCAACUGAUACUGUGCGACUAGAGUGCAGAAGGGGCAACUGGAAUUCUCGGUGUAGCGGUGAAAUGCGUAGAGAUCGGGAGGAACAUCAGUGGCGAAGGCGGCCCUCUGGACCAGUACUGACGCUGAGGCACGAAAGCGUGGGGAGCAAACAGG
RNAcentral lists this ribosomal RNA (254 nucleotides) under uncultured bacterium. RNAcentral describes it as "partial 16S ribosomal RNA". It matches the Rfam family "Bacterial small subunit ribosomal RNA", at positions 524 to 776 of the family's 1533-position model. The record is from RNAcentral.